This 253-nucleotide ribosomal RNA is filed under the name uncultured bacterium. RNAcentral describes it as "partial 16S ribosomal RNA". It matches the Rfam family "Bacterial small subunit ribosomal RNA", at positions 524 to 776 of the family's 1533-position model. The record is from RNAcentral.
UACAGAGGUCUCAAGCGUUGUUCGGAUUCAUUGGGCGUAAAGGGUGCGUAGGUGGCGGGGUUAGUCAGGUGUGAAAUCUUGGAGCUUAACUCCGAAACUGCAUUCGAUACUGCCGUGCUUGAGGACUGGAGAGGAGACUGGAAUUUACGGUGUAGCGGUGAAAUGCGUAGAUAUCGUAAGGAAGACCAGUGGCGAAGGCGGGUCUCUGGACAGUUCCUGACGCUGAGGCACGAAGGUCAGGGGAGCAAACGGG